This 447-nucleotide ribosomal RNA is filed under the name uncultured bacterium. Its description in RNAcentral is "bacterial SSU rRNA". It matches the Rfam family "Bacterial small subunit ribosomal RNA", at positions 355 to 825 of the family's 1533-position model. The record is from RNAcentral.
UGGGGAAUAUUGGACAAUGGGCGCAAGCCUGAUCCAGCCAUGCCGCGUGGGUGAUGAAGGCCCUAGGGUUGUAAAGCCCUUUCGGCGGGGAAGAUAAUGACGGUACCUGGAGAAUAAGCCCCGGCAAACUUCGUGCCAGCAGCCGCGGUAAUACGAAGGGGGCUAGCGUUGUUCGGAAUUACUGGGCGUAAAGCGCACGUAGGCGGAUUGUUAAGUCAGAGGUGAAAUCCCGGAGCUCAACUUCGGAACUGCCUUUGAUACUGGCAAUCUCGAGUCCGGAAGAGGUUAGUGGAAUUCCCAGUGUAGAGGUGAAAUUCGUAGAUAUUGGGAAGAACACCAGUGGCGAAGGCGGCUAACUGGUCCGGUACUGACGCUGAGGUGCGAAAGCGUGGGGAGCAAACAGGAUUAGAUACCCCAGUAGUCCCUGAGCGGGCUGGCAAGGCGCAU